This 31-nucleotide non-coding RNA is filed under the name Rattus norvegicus (Norway rat). Lineage: Eukaryota; Metazoa; Chordata; Mammalia; Rodentia; Muridae. The record is from RNAcentral.
UAGACACACUUAAAUUACCUGUUAAAAUAAA